GACGUAGGGCGCGAGCGUUGUCCGGAUUUAUUGGGCGUAAAGAGCUCGUAGGCGGCUUGUCGCGUCGACCGUGAAAACUCGGGGCUUAACCCCGAGCCUGCAGUGGAUACGGGCAGACUAGAGGUAGGUAGGGGAGAAUGGAAUUCCCGGUGUAGCGGUGAAAUGCGCAGAUAUCGGGAGGAACACCGGUGGCGAAGGCGGUUCUCUGGGCCUUACCUGACGCUGAGGAGCGAAAGCGUGGGGAGCGAACAGG
RNAcentral lists this ribosomal RNA (253 nucleotides) under uncultured bacterium. RNAcentral describes it as "partial 16S ribosomal RNA". It matches the Rfam family "Bacterial small subunit ribosomal RNA", at positions 524 to 776 of the family's 1533-position model. The record is from RNAcentral.